GAUGAACGCUGGCGGCGUGCCUAAUACAUGCAAGUCGAGCGAACAGACGAGGAGCUUGCUCCUCUGACGUUAGCGGCGGACGGGUGAGUAACACGUGGAUAACCUACCUAUAAGACUGGGAUAACUUCGGGAAACCGGGGCUAAUACCGGAUAAUAUAUUGAACCGCAUGGUUCAAUAGUGAAAGACGGUUUUGCUGUCACUUAUAGAUGGUUCCGCGCCGCAUUAGCUAGUUGGUAAGGUAACGGCUUACCAAGGCAACGAUGCGUAGCCGACCUGAGAGGGUGAUCGGCCACACUGGAACUGAGACACGGUCCAGACUCCUACGGGAGGCAGCAGUAGGGAAUCUUCCGCAAUGGGCGAAAGCCUGACGGAGCAACGCCGCGUGAGUGAUGAAGGUCUUCGGAUCGUAAAACUCUGUUAUUAGGGAAGAACAAAUGUGUAAGUAACUAUGCACGUCUUGACGGUACCUAAUCAGAAAGCCACGGCUAACUACGUG
Molecule: ribosomal RNA, 497 nt
Filed under: uncultured bacterium
Lineage: Bacteria
Description: partial 16S ribosomal RNA
Rfam family: Bacterial small subunit ribosomal RNA
Source: RNAcentral